UACGGAGGGUGCAAGCGUUGCUCGGAAUUAUUGGGCGUAAAGGGUAGGUAGGUGGUCUUAUUUGUCUGAGGUGAAAUCCUUGAGCUUAACUCGAGAAGUGCCUCAGAAACGGUGAGACUAGAGUCCUGGAGAGGGUCGUGGAAUUCCCGGUGUAGCGGUGAAAUGCGUAGAGAUCGGGAGGAACACCAGAGGCGAAGGCGGCGACCUGGACAGGUACUGACACUCAACUACGAAAGCGUGGGGAGCAAACAGG
RNAcentral lists this ribosomal RNA (253 nucleotides) under uncultured bacterium. RNAcentral's name for it is "partial 16S ribosomal RNA". It matches the Rfam family "Bacterial small subunit ribosomal RNA", at positions 524 to 776 of the family's 1533-position model. The record is from RNAcentral.